AGAACAUCCUCUUGAGAAGUCUUUGGAAAGUUCCUUCAUAUCCCAAUCAGUUUCAGGCUAUAAUGUGUGUGUAUUCAUAUCUUUCUGUUGUAUUCAGCAUGUGGAGUUAAGUACAUUAAAUAAACAUAUAUAUAUAUAUAUAUAUAUAUAUAUGGUGCAUAUACAAAUAUAUGUAUGUAUAUAUAUAUAUAUAUAUACUUUUUUUUAAGAUGUUACUGAGAAUAACAAAUCACGUGAAAAAAGGAGGAGAGUUUCUUUUGGAGCCCCUCUGAGACCCGAAUUAUUUGAUGGAAAUUUACCUCCCAAUACACCUCUUGAAAAAGGAGAAAGCCCAGAGACGAGCAAAACAGCAUCCACAACCUGGGUCCCGAGAAAGUCAAUAAUGAAGCAGACGCAUUCUAAACCACCAGAAAAAGAGCCUUCCCCCAGUGUAGUGGAAGGGAUACCGCCAUGUACAAAAGACCCACACCAACAGCUUCCUGCCAUUCCUAAUAAGAAGUCUGCACCGAGCAGGGAUAACAUCACCUUGUCAAAAUUCGUGGAGGAGAGAACAACAUCUAUUCCCGAAAUCCAGACCAUCCAGCCCCACAAGACCCUGAGCACACCAUCGGUCUGGAGGAGAUCCUCCUCUGCAAGAAGAAGCCAGGUUUUGGAUGCGCUACAGACGAUUGACUCCAACAGAGGAGCACCAAAAGACAAUCUCAUGGGUAUUUGAGCAGGGAAUCAUUUUCCGAUGGUUUUUACAGGCAGGGGGCAGGCAGUCCCCUGGCUUCAAAGAGCUUAAGACGUUCAGUCUACCAACAGAGGGAACAGAUGUAGGAGGAACAGUAAGAAGGCCAGUAUAUGGCUGGAUCAGACAGUGCAGAGCUGUGUGCGGGGCUUGAGGUAAAAGGUGUAAAUAAAACAAGGCUGGAAAAGCUAGUAAUCUCA
This is a long non-coding RNA of Phascolarctos cinereus (koala), 930 nucleotides long. The record is from Ensembl. Lineage: Eukaryota; Metazoa; Chordata; Mammalia; Diprotodontia; Phascolarctidae.